UACGGGAGUGGCAAGCGUUAUCCGGAAUCAUUGGGCGUAAAGCGCCUGUAGGUUGUUUAAUAAGUCUGUUGUUAAAGACUGGGGCUUAACCCCAGGAAAGCAAUGGAAACUACUAGACUUGAGUAUGGCAGGGGUAGAGGGAAUUUCUAGUGUAGCGGUGAAAUGCGUAGAUAUUAGAAAGAACACCAGCGGCGAAAGCGCUCUACUGGACCAUUACUGACACUCAGAGACGAAAGCUAGGGUAGCAAAAGGGAUUAGAUACCCCUGUAGUCCUAGCCGUAAACGAUGGAUACUAGAUGUUGUGUUUAAUAUGCAGUAUCGUAGCUAACGCGUUAAGUAUCCCGCCUGGGGAGUACGCUCGCAAGGGUG
Molecule: ribosomal RNA, 369 nt
Filed under: uncultured phototrophic eukaryote
Lineage: Eukaryota
Description: SSU rRNA
Rfam family: Bacterial small subunit ribosomal RNA
Source: RNAcentral